RNAcentral lists this ribosomal RNA (439 nucleotides) under uncultured bacterium. RNAcentral's name for it is "partial 16S ribosomal RNA". It matches the Rfam family "Bacterial small subunit ribosomal RNA", at positions 339 to 795 of the family's 1533-position model. The record is from RNAcentral.
CUACGGGACGCACCAGUGAGGAAUAUUGCACAAUGGGGGGAACCCUGAUGCAGCAACGCCGCGUGGAGGAUGACGCAUUUCGGUGUGUAAACUCCUUUUAUAUGUCAAGAAAAUGACGGUAGCAUAUGAAUAAGCACCGGCUAACUCCGUGCCAGCAGCCGCGGUAAUACGGAGGGUGCAAGCGUUACUCGGAAUCACUGGGCGUAAAGGACGCGUAGGCGGGUUGGAAAGUCAGGUGUGAAAUCCUACAGCUUAACUGUAGAACUGCACUUGAAACUUCUAAUCUAGAGUAUGGGAGGGGGAGAGGGAAUUAGUCGUGUAGGGGUAAAAUCCGUAGAUAUCACUAGGAAUACCUAAAGCGAAGGCGAUCUCCUGGAACAUUACUGACGCUAAGGCGUGAAAGCGUGGGGAGCAAACAGGAUUAGAUACCCGAGUAGUC